RNAcentral lists this ribosomal RNA (468 nucleotides) under uncultured bacterium. RNAcentral describes it as "partial 16S ribosomal RNA". It matches the Rfam family "Bacterial small subunit ribosomal RNA", at positions 28 to 507 of the family's 1533-position model. The record is from RNAcentral.
GACGAACGCUGGCGGCGUGCUUAACACAUGCAAGUCGAACGGAAAGGCCCUGCUUUUGUGGGGUGCUCGAGUGGCGAACAGGUGAGUAACACGUGAAUAACCUGCCCUUGACUUUGGGAUAACUUCAGGAAACUGGGGCUAAUACCGGAUAGGAGCUCCUGCUGCAUGGUGGGGGUUGGAAAGUUUCGGCGGUUGGGGAUGGACUCGCGGCUUAUCAGCUUGUUGGUGGGGUAGUGGCUUACCAAGGCUUUGACGGGUAGCCGGCCUGAGAGGGUGACCGGCCACAUUGGGACUGAGAUACGGCCCAGACUCCUACGGGAGGCAGCAGUGGGGAAUAUUGCACAAUGGGCGGAAGCCUGAUGCAGCAACGCCGCGUGCGGGAUGACGGCCUUCGGGUUGUAAACCGCUUUCGCCUGUGACGAAGCGUGAGUGACGGUAAUGGGUAAAGAAGCACCGGCUAACUACGUG